This 460-nucleotide small RNA is filed under the name Pan troglodytes (chimpanzee). RNAcentral describes it as "processed transcript". Lineage: Eukaryota; Metazoa; Chordata; Mammalia; Primates; Hominidae. The record is from RNAcentral.
CACAACAGGUCUGAAAAGGAGUCAGACAGAUGGCACUCUGGAUCAGGUUUCCCACAGGGAGAAGAUGGAGCAGACAUUCAGGCAUUCUAUUUCGGUGCAGGAGGAGCAGCAGAACCCUAGUUCUUCUGACUGAUGUCCUGGUUUGGGGAAACUCUGAGGACAUGAGACUUGGAUUCAGUCCAGGCUGAUGGCUCAGCACAGAGUGGGUCAGGAUUCAGUCCAGGCCUAUGGCUCAACACACAGUGGGCCAGCAUGCGGAGGGAGAGGGGACCGUGGGGGGCAGCCAGGGAUCUGCCGAAAGAUCAUACUGCAAAGUGACGGGACCAGCUCACCGAACAGCGUGGCAGUCUCUUUCCUAGUAGCUUUCUAUGUUGGUUACGUCUGUUACGGAUCCCCCCCAACAUACUUUUCCUCUAAAGCAGGAAUUGAAAUGUAGUACACGCUGCAAAUGCUGUCCUUC